GGGCGUGUAGCUCAGUUGGUCAGAGCACCCGCCUUACAAGCGGGCGGUCGGAGGUUCGAGUCCUCUCGCGCCCA
Non-coding RNA from Thermobifida fusca YX, 74 nucleotides. NCBI's taxonomy places the organism in Bacteria, Bacillati, Actinomycetota, Actinomycetes, Streptosporangiales, Nocardiopsidaceae. The record is from Rfam.